GACGAACGCUGGCGGCGUGCUUAACACAUGCAAGUCGAACGCUGAAGACCUGGCUUUUGUUGGGUUGGAUGAGUGGCGAACGGGUGAGUAACACGUGAGUAACCUGCCCUCUUCUUUGGGAUAACGCCCGGAAACGGGUGCUAAUACUGGAUAUUCACUGAUCUUCGCAUGGGGGUUGAUGGAAAGGUUUGUUCUGGUGGGGGAUGGGCUCGCGGCCUAUCAGCUUGUUGGUGGGGUGAUGGCCUACCAAGGCUUUGACGGGUAGCCGGCCUGAGAGGGUGACCGGUCACAUUGGGACUGAGAUACGGCCCAGACUCCUACGGGAGGCAGCAGUGGGGAAUAUAGCACAAUGGGCGAAAGCCUGAUGCAGCGACGCCGCGUGAGGGAUGGAGGCCUUCGGGUUGUAAACCUCUUUCGCUCAUGGUCAAGCCGCAACUGUGGGUUGUGGUGAGGGUAGUGGGUAAAGAAGCGCCGGCUAACUACGUG
This 486-nucleotide ribosomal RNA is filed under the name uncultured bacterium. RNAcentral's name for it is "partial 16S ribosomal RNA". It matches the Rfam family "Bacterial small subunit ribosomal RNA", at positions 28 to 507 of the family's 1533-position model. The record is from RNAcentral.